Long non-coding RNA from Daphnia pulicaria, 584 nucleotides. RefSeq lists it as uncharacterized. The record is from RefSeq and is a predicted model, not a curated record. The transcript is spliced from 3 exons. NCBI's taxonomy places the organism in Eukaryota, Metazoa, Arthropoda, Branchiopoda, Diplostraca, Daphniidae.
AUUGUGUUGUCAACAGAUGUGGGCUUUUGGCGACUCGUUGUCUAAAUCUAUUUUCAGCUACAGCUAUUUUCUUCGAAAGUUACAAAUGAACACAUAGUUUAAUUCGAGUUAUUUCAUUUGUAAUUUGUCUGUGAUGUGUUUUAUUCCUUGUACAUGUUGGAUAACCUUAGUGUUUCUCAUCAACUGACAGAAGGAAACGUAGCCUACCGUUGACUAUUUUGUUCAAAAUGUGCCAUCGAAAUGACACAGGAUUCAUCAUAAUUAUCUGCUGUAAGAAUUGGACAGCCCAUCACGGACCAAUCUCUCAUUCCAUCUUCUAGAGAACCUUGGCGAACUGUUUGGUGGUUUCAUGUGUUUGAAACUAUAGGUUUCUAAAUUUGCAUGACAGACUUUAAGAAAAGUCAUGUUGAAGAAAAAGGACUGACUGACAAUCAACAAGGUACACUACCUAAGUUGUUUGGUAACCUGUUGGCUGCUUCCCUUGAAUCUCCCUUUUUACUUCCUUAAGCUUGAUUUGAGGUAUUGCUCACUGUUGCUCAAAUAUUGUUGGAAAUUAUUGUCAAACUAAUAAAUGUUCACUCUGU